GUGAAAUAUUGAUACUGUUGGACGUAUUUAUGUUUGAUAACGUUAAAGAUAUUCGUUAUAUCAUUCUCUGCAUUAAACGUUAAAGGGAAAUGAAAUUUGUGAUGUUGAGAUAAUUAAUUCGUUUAAUAGGUUCAUUGACAUUGUGUCAAAAUGGCCUGGGUCAACACACAUGACACCUCUGUCUUUGACAGCUUUGGUUUGAACUUUGAAGACCUUUCCUGGAAGAAAACCACCUGGGAUACCUACUUGGCGACUCCGACUAUUCGUUAAAAAAAAUAUGUAUAAACGCCCUUGCUUAGGCCAACAACAAAUGCAGUGGUGAGGUACAACCAUGCCCAGUCAAGUUGUUGGAUUGUGGUUGAGAGCGCUUUUGGACUGCUGAUAGUAGAUUAAGGUGUCUACAUAAAACUGGAGGAUGUUUAUUCAUGAGACUCGAUGAGUGCUGUCAAGCAGUAGAUGCAUGAAUGCGCCUACACAACUUAUGCAUAGAUCAGCAGGUACCACUGCCUGAACAACUUAUUGAGGCACAGGAAGUGGAUUAUGUUGUGCACGGUGCCCCACAAUAGGAUAAAAUGCAGCACUUAUUGACAUGAUUAACUUAUUUAUGUAGGUGUUGUGUCAUGCUCACUUAUGCAUGAAGUGCUAUAGGUCAGCCAUUGUGGUCUGUCUAUGCCCGGCCUCAUGCAUUAUCCACAUUUAAUGCUAUGUUGAUGAAAGUUAGUCAUAAUGUAUUUGUUAAUAAUAUCUAGGCUAUCCUCAAGUGUGGUCAAAAUCUUUGUAAGAGUGUUAAUAUUGACAAGUUCUAUGUCAUUAUUUUUUGUUGAUUUUUAGCUCGACUAUUAUAUAUGAAAUAUAUAUAGUGGAGCUAUCCUACUCACCCCGGCGUCUGCAUUAGCGUUGGAAUGUUAAAGUUUGCGUACCACCUCAAAUAUUUCCUAUGUCCCUUGACAUAUUGCUUUUAUAUUUUGCUUACUUCUUAACCAACAUGACCCCAACCUAUAAACAAGAGCAGACAACUGUAUCAAGCAUUUUGUAAGAAUUAUGGCCCUUGUUUUACUUAAAAUAUGCAUAUUAUUGAUAAAUCUAUGCUAAGUUUGCGUACCACCUCAAGUAUUUUCAAUGUCCCUUGACAUAUUGCUUUCAUAUUUUGCAUACUUCUUUACCAACAUGACCCCAAUCUAUAAACAAGAGCAGACAACUGUAACAAGCAUUUUGUAAGAAUUAUGGCCCUCUUUCCACUUAGAAUAUGCAUAUUAUUGAUAAAUCUAUGUUAAAGUUUGCGUACCACCUCAAAUAUUUUCUAUGUACCUUGUAAUAUUGCGUUUAUAUUUUGCAUACUUCUUUACCAACAUGACCCCAACAACAUAACAAGAGCAGACAACUGUAUCAAGCAUUUUGUAAUAAUUAUGUUCCCUUUUUAUACUUAGAAUUUUUUUUUUGAAGUUUUGUGUUUAGGUUCACUUUAUUCCUAAAGUCUUUAUUCCUAAAGUAUCAAAGCUAUUGCUUUUAUACGUGCAGCAAUUACUAACUAUCAAAAGGGGACUUUGCAAGCAAAGUUAUUUGACUCUGACUGGCAUUUAGACAGAUUUAUGGCCCCUUUUAUACUUAGAUAAUUUAACAUUUGGUGAAGUUUUGUGUUUUGGUCCAUUUUACCCGUAAAGUAUCAUAGCUAUUGCUUUCAGACUUGGAAAACUUACCUUUACACUUACCUGACAUACCACAAUGAACUCCACCCAA
Dreissena polymorpha is the source of this 1737-nucleotide long non-coding RNA. RefSeq lists it as uncharacterized. The transcript has 4 exons. NCBI's taxonomy places the organism in Eukaryota, Metazoa, Mollusca, Bivalvia, Myida, Dreissenidae. The record is from RefSeq and is a predicted model, not a curated record.